CAUAACGUGGUGGCCACACCACAUGUGAACAAGUGUUAGUAGUUUUCUUUUUUAACACUUAACAUACAAACAUUUCAGAUAAUCACAGUACACAUACAGCACACACUUUAUUACUGACAGUUUGUUGGAUAAUUUGAGUGCACGUGUUUUAGUUAACAUUCUGUUUUUCAUAUUUCUUGCUUGUGUUUAAUCCUGAUUUGUCUUUUGUUUCAUGGAUUCGGCGAGUCCUCCCUCUGGCCGAAAGAGUCGGCGCCGGUAAAGAUGGCCGCUUAUACUGCGGCAGGCAGGAAGUGGAAGAGACCAACGGGAGCGUGUCAGAGGGGAGUCUGCCUUUCAGGAUCCAGUAAACUUCAGUUACUUUAAGUUUAUUUUUCUUGCUUUUGAUAGUUAGUUUUGGUUAUAAAUAGUUUCUUGAUUUAAAUCUUUGUUGAUAUUAAGGUUACUUUGUGUUAUAGAGUUAAUUGUUUAUUCCUGCCCCCCUUAUGUGUCAUUUGUCAGGUCUGUUAUGCUGUUUGUUUAGUUGACCUCAAUUUGAGUUUUUGAAAUUACUUUCUACUAGUUUUCCUAUUUUUGUAUUUUGGGAAAAGUUGAAAUUAAGUUGUAAAUAGAUGACUAAUUUUUGCUUUAUACACCUUGUGUUCCUGAGUUUUACUGCUUGGUCCCUGACACAUAAUAACACACUUCUUUUUGCAGAAAACACACAAACCUGGCAACCCUGCAGAGAUCUAACGGGUAACAUUAUAUGGAGACAAAUGGCAAGAUUGUUUGGAAUCAGUAAAAACACUGGUUGUUGGGACAUUUCACCACCGUUCAUACUCAAAUCUACACCCAUGCUCAACAUCCUAGAUGUUUACAGGCUGAAGACAUGCGACAGACAGUAACGAUGACUUCAGAGGAAAGCGGUGGGAAGUUUUACAGAUAUGGACAAAACCCAGUUUCGAUGAUCUGAGCGGUCUGAGAAUACGGAAACGCUGAAUGAGAGAUUGCGUUGAGUUACAGAAGCCGGUGGAACAGAGGCUAGACAGGAAGUGACAUCAUGACCUCAGCUCUC
Molecule: long non-coding RNA, 1051 nt
Organism: Thunnus maccoyii (southern bluefin tuna)
Lineage: Eukaryota; Metazoa; Chordata; Actinopteri; Scombriformes; Scombridae
Exons: 3
Source: RefSeq, a predicted model, not a curated record